This 397-nucleotide ribosomal RNA is filed under the name uncultured bacterium. RNAcentral describes it as "partial 16S ribosomal RNA". It matches the Rfam family "Bacterial small subunit ribosomal RNA", at positions 523 to 918 of the family's 1533-position model. The record is from RNAcentral.
AUACGUAGGGGGCGAGCGUUGUCCGGAAUGAUUGGGCGUAAAGGGCGCGUAGGCGGCGCGGUAAGUCUGGAGUGAAAGUCCUGCUUUCAAGGUGGGAAUUGCUUUGGAUACUGCCGCGCUUGAGUGCAGGAGAGGUUAUCGGAAUUCCCGGUGUAGCGGUGAAAUGCGUAGAGAUCGGGAGGAACACCAGUGGCGAAGGCGGGUAACUGGACUGCAACUGACGCUGAGGCGCGAAAGUGUGGGGAGCAAACAGGAUUAGAUACCCUGGUAGUCCACACUGUAAACGAUGAAUGCUAGGUGUAAGAGGUAUCGACCCCUUUUGUGCCGGAGUCAACGCAAUAAGCAUUCCGCCUGGGGAGUACGGCCGCAAGGUUGAAACUCAAAUGAAUUGACGGGG